AGUGAACGCUGGCGGUAGGCCUAACACAUGCAAGUCGAACGGCAGCACAGUAAGAGCUUGCUCUUACGGGUGGCGAGUGGCGGACGGGUGAGGAAUACAUCGGAAUCUACUUUUUCGUGGGGGAUAACGUAGGGAAACUUACGCUAAUACCGCAUACGACCUACGGGUGAAAGCAGGGGAUCUUCGGACCUUGCGCGAUUGAAUGAGCCGAUGUCGGAUUAGCUAGUUGGCGGGGUAAAGGCCCACCAAGGCGACGAUCCGUAGCUGGUCUGAGAGGAUGAUCAGCCACACUGGAACUGAGACACGGUCCAGACUCCUACGGGAGGCAGCAGUGGGGAAUAUUGGACAAUGGGCGAAAGCCUGAUCCAGCCAUACCGCGUGGGUGAAGAAGGCCUUCGGGUUGUAAAACCCUUUUGUUGGGAAAGAAAAGCAGCAGGUUAAUACCCCGCUGUUCUGACGGUACCCAAAGAAUAAGCACCGGCUAACUUCGUG
Molecule: ribosomal RNA, 492 nt
Filed under: uncultured bacterium
Lineage: Bacteria
Description: partial 16S ribosomal RNA
Rfam family: Bacterial small subunit ribosomal RNA
Source: RNAcentral